Long non-coding RNA from Zingiber officinale, 788 nucleotides. RefSeq lists it as uncharacterized. Lineage: Eukaryota; Viridiplantae; Streptophyta; Magnoliopsida; Zingiberales; Zingiberaceae. The record is from RefSeq and is a predicted model, not a curated record. The transcript has 3 exons.
CCGAGCCCUAAUCCGUUCCUCUCUUCUUCUCUCGCGCCCGACGCCGGCGGUUUCUUCUUCCCGAACGCCGGCAGCCGGUUCCUUGUCGGAGCCCUAGCACCGCCGCCCGACCGCCUGCCCUAGCCACCCAACGCCGCCGACGCCCUUCUCUCGAUUCCUCCUCUGGUCCGACGAGCCAUCGCCGGACACCCUCGCUCUCGGCCUCUUUUCUGCCCUAGCACAAUUCUUUCAACCGCCGGCAGCCUGAGUUCCUGCCGCCAGCCGCCGAACUCGCGUGCCCUAGAGGGUUGGGUUCACGACAACGCGCCGAUUCUUCUCUGUGUUCGGCCUCUCCACCGCCGCACACCGCUGAGAGCCGGCUCUCCUCCUUGUGUUCACGACCGCUCCACAUCUGCACCGUGCCGACGCCGACUUCUUCAUCUCUGCGCCACUGCCUCUGCGUGCCACUGCCUCCACACCUUCUUCUUCACUGUGGUCACACCUCUAGUGCCCUAGCAGUGAUCUGGGAGUGCUUGACCUUGCUUGGACCAGUAGGUGGAGAUUUCUUUUCCCUGUGUUGCUGCUGUGCCCUAGUGCACCAUUACCGGUGCCACUCUCUUCUUUACAGCAGAGUGGUGAUUUUAGAGUGAAGUGUCCGACUUGUAAAGUGUGCUUUAGUUUGUUCAAGACUUCCAGCAGCAACCCCAUCCAGUAGCCCUUGCUUCAGCAGCAACAGCAACGGUGGUUGAGGAUUUUGACACGAGACGAGUAUCUCGGAGUCGGAUUGGACUUUUCUUAUCGGAGGCGGG